CGGCAGGUGGCGCUCCUGCCCUGAUUAACGCUGGCAAUUAGCAAAUUAACUUAAUUAGGCGGUGAUUGGGGCCCCAUUGAGCAGCAGCUGCCCUUUCACCCCAAGCGUGGUUGGAGCAGCCACGAGGAUUCUGGAGGGAACGGAGGGGUAUUCCAAAGGCAAUCCAAAGUGAACACCGAGGAAUUUUCCUCCCUCACCUUUGGGAAGUCGCUCUGGAAUGACUCGUCCCACCCCAGACUCGCUGCUGAUCCCAUGGAUGGUUUGGGUUGGAAAACACCAACCCUGGGAAGAUCCUGAAAGUUCCUCGAUUCCAACCAGGCUUGGGCAGUGCCCACCAUGGAUCAAACCAGUCAAAAUCCAUCAGGAUCUUCCCGAAAACCCUGAGGAACAAUGAAAUCCCAGUUCGUUGCUGCAAUGGGCUGUUGGGACAGAGUUCCUGAAGGAAUUGCUUCCCUGGAAUUUCAUCACCAAAUCCCUGCCUUUCCCACCUUAAAAUCCGCCAGGGAUUGUCUGAAACGCUUUGAUGAGGUGCCCUUAAUUGGGAUUGGAAUUCUGGAGGCAUUACCUGGGAUACAGCUGAGGGGAUUGCACAAAGAGUUCGGAAAAAAUUAAUUUGGAUUAAAAUUUGACUCCUUUUUGUUGCUUUCCCGGAGUUUGGUGGAGCCGCGUGAAGAUUUCCCUUUAUUCCAAGAGAAAUUUUCCAUUAUGUUCCCCUCCUAAAAAAAGGUGGAUGUGUUUUGGGAGACUAGUCUUGAAAUUUUAAUAACUUCUAAUUUUUUCUUUUAUUUUUCUUUUUUAAUUUUAAUUCUAAACAUUUUAAACACAUCAACUAAAAAAAGAAAAGUGCAUAAGGGAAGGAAAUAACGGGAUAUCGAUGGAAAAUCAAUCCUUUUUUUAAUGGGAUGGUUUGGGAAAGGGCCC
Molecule: long non-coding RNA, 921 nt
Filed under: Cyanistes caeruleus (blue tit)
Lineage: Eukaryota; Metazoa; Chordata; Aves; Passeriformes; Paridae
Description: lncRNA (ENSCCEG00000011843.1)
Source: RNAcentral